CCUACGGGCGGCUGCAGUGGGGAAUAUUGCACAAUGGGCGAAAGCCUGAUGCAGCGACGCCGCGUGAGUGAAGAAGUAUUUCGGUAUGUAAAGCUCUAUCAGCAGGGAAGAUAAUGACAGUACCUGACUAAGAAGCCCCGGCUAACUACGUGCCAGCAGCCGCGGUAAUACGUAGGGGGCAAGCGUUAUCCGGAUUUACUGGGUGUAAAGGGGGCGCAGACGGCGAUGCAAGCCAGGAGUGAAAGCCCGGGGCCCAACCCCGGGACUGCUCUUGGAACUGCGUGGCUGGAGUGCAGGAGGGGCAGGCGGAAUUCCUGGUGUAGCGGUGAAAUGCGUAGAUAUCAGGAGGAACACCGGUGGCGAAGGCGGCUUACUGGACUGUAACUGACACUGAGGCUCGAAAGCGUGGGGAGCAAACAGGAUUAGAUACCCGUGUA
Molecule: ribosomal RNA, 437 nt
Filed under: uncultured bacterium
Lineage: Bacteria
Description: bacterial SSU rRNA
Rfam family: Bacterial small subunit ribosomal RNA
Source: RNAcentral